AGCACGACGGGGGCAUCGAAACUACGAUUUCGUUUCAUCCUAUUUGCUUGCCGAUUUGCGACAAAAUCCGUCCUCUCUCCGACUAAUCCACAUAUCACACAUAGGCCUAGGUGGAAACCCGAAAUCCUUUAAUUCAAACUCGAAUUUGAAUUCCCUACCACCAGUAGGUACUUGAAACAACUCUCACCUAACCCCAGGUCACAAGCACAGAGCACGAGGAGUCUCAUUAUGCAAAAACAGCAAAGAGUGAAAACCCUCUUUUCGAUAAAAUCCCUUUUUCUCGAAAACCGUACGUCAGAUCUGAAAUCCGUCAGUGCCAUUGGUUCCAGAAUAGUUGAACCGAUCAAAACGAGCUAUUGGAUCGCUAUGAACGGAGUCCGACACGUGCCGAAAGCCACCUCUACUCUGUGGCUUCUCCAGAAAACCGGAGUUACUAUUCACUUUAAGUGAAAACUAAUAAUCGCGUAACUUCUCCGUUCUAGCUCAUUUUCUCCUGAAACUUGACGAGUGCUUAUGUAAUUAAAUUACACACAUAAAUAUCAUCAACAGAGAGUUUGGUUGCACUGUAAAAAUCUCAGUCCUUACAGAAG
RNAcentral lists this long non-coding RNA (590 nucleotides) under Ananas comosus (pineapple). RNAcentral's name for it is "long non-coding RNA (ACOM_LNC008680)". Lineage: Eukaryota; Viridiplantae; Streptophyta; Magnoliopsida; Poales; Bromeliaceae. The record is from RNAcentral.